UCCGGGUUGGACCCGGCGGUCCCGCCAGACAUGGUAACUGGCAGCGAGGGUUGCGCUCGUUGCGGGACUUAACCCAACACCUCACGGCACGAGCUGACGACAGCCAUGCAGCAUCUGUGCGUGCUCCCUUGCGGGUCCUUCUGGUUUCCCAGUCGUACCACACGCAUGUCAAGCCCAGGUAAGGUUCUUCGCGUUGCAUCGAAUUAAUCCGCAUGCUCCGCCGCUUGUGCGGGCCCCCGUCAAUUCCUUUGAGUUUCAGUCUUGCGACCGUACUCCCCAGGCGGCGAACUUAACGCGUUAGCUUCGACACUGAUCUCCGAGUUGAGACCAACGUCCAGUUCGCAUCGUUUAGGGCGUGGACUAC
This 364-nucleotide unclassified non-coding RNA is filed under the name uncultured bacterium. RNAcentral describes it as "contains 16S-23S intergenic spacer region". The record is from RNAcentral.